Molecule: ribosomal RNA, 253 nt
Filed under: uncultured bacterium
Lineage: Bacteria
Description: partial 16S ribosomal RNA
Rfam family: Bacterial small subunit ribosomal RNA
Source: RNAcentral
UACGUAGGGGGCAAGCGUUGUCCGGAUUUAUUGGGCGUAAAGAGCGUGUAGGCGGCCAGAUAGGUCCGUUGUGAAAACUCGAGGCUCAACCUCGAGACGCCGAUGGAAACCAUUUGGCUAGAGUCCGGAAGAGGAGAGUGGAAUUCCUGGUGUAGCGGUGAAAUGCGCAGAUAUCAGGAAGAACACCCGUGGCUAAGGCGGCUCUCUGGGCCUUACCUGACGCUGAGGAGCGAAAGCGUGGGGAGCGAACAGG